Molecule: long non-coding RNA, 2713 nt
Organism: Calidris pugnax (ruff)
Lineage: Eukaryota; Metazoa; Chordata; Aves; Charadriiformes; Scolopacidae
Exons: 3
Source: RefSeq, a predicted model, not a curated record
AACAUCUCCCCGGAGCCUUCCCUUCUCCAGGCAGAGCAACUCCAACUCUCUCAGCCUGUCCUCAUAGAAGAGGUGCUCCAGUCCUUUCAUCAUCUUCACGACCCUCCUCCGGACCCAUUUCAACAGGUCCAUGCCUUUCCUGUGCUGGGGGCUCGGCUGGGGGUCUCACCAGAGCAGAGUAGAGGGGUGCAGUCACCUCCCUCAACCCACUGGCCACACUUCUCUUGAUGCAGCCCAGGAUGUGGCUUUUCAGCACUGAGAGCGCACAUUUUUAGCUAAUGUCCAGCUCUUCAUCUACCAGUAGCCCCAAGUCCUUCUCAGCAGGGUUGGUCUCAAUCCCUUCAUCCCUGAGUCUGUCUUGAUACUGGGGGUUGCCCCAGCCCAGAGCAGGACCCUGCACUUGGCCCUUGUUCAUAUGGGCUCACUUAUUGAGCUUGUCCAGGUCCCUAUGGGUGGCAUCCUGUCCCUCAGGCAUGUCAAGCCCACCACUCAGCUUGGUUUCAUCUGCAAACUUUCUGAGGGUGCUCUCAAUCCCACUGUCUAUGAUAAAGAUAUUAAACAGUACAGGUCCCAGUAUGGACCUGUGAGGAACGCUGCUUGUCACCAGUCUUCAUCUGAAUAGUGAGUUGUUGACAACUACCUUCUGGAUGCAACCAUCCAGCCAAUUCCUCAUCCACUGAACAGUCCACCCAUCAAAUCCGUAUCCCUCCAGUUUAGAGAGCAGGAUGUUGGGGCCUUACAGAGGUCCAGACAGAUGAUGUCCCUAGGUCUUCCCUUGUCCUCUGAUGUAGCCGCUCCAUCAUAGAAGGCCACUAGGUUGGUCAGGCAGGACUUGCCCUUGGUGAAGCCAUGCUGGCUGUCUUGAAUCGCCUCCCUGUCCUCCGUGUGCCUUAGCACAGCUUUCAGGUGAGGCUGACAUGUUGAUAGGCCCUAGGAGUCUCUCCUAUGCUUUUUAAAAAAUGAGUGCAGUUUUUCCCUUUUUCCAGUCACCAGGGACUUCACCUGACUGCCAUGACUUCUCAAAUAUCAUGGAGAGUGGCUUGGCCAAUCUGUCAGGACUCUGGGAUGUAUCUAAUCAGGUCCCAUAGACUUAUGCUGAGGUUCCUCAGGUGGUUGCAAACCUCAUCUCUUGGAGCAGGAGGGACUUUGCUCUUCCAGUCCCUGUCUUGUGGUCCAUCCCCUCGAGAGGUGUGGGGAGAGAGGUUGCCAGUAAAGACUGAGGCAAAAAAGUUGUUGAGUCCCUCAGCCUUUUCCUAGUCCAUGGUUACCAGUUUGUCAGUCUUUCUCAUCAGGGGGUUACGCUUUCUUUCACCUUCCUUUUCUGGAUGACGUACCUGUGGAACCCCCUCUUUGUGUCCCUUCCACGUUCAGCUCCAGCUGCACCUUGACCUUCCUGAUCCCAUCCCUACACAACCAGGCAGUGUCCCUUUAUUCCUCCCAGGAUACCUGUCCCUUCUUCCACUGCCUGUGUGUUUCCUUCUUGCUCUUUAGUGUGACCAGCAGCUCUUGACUCAGCUGUGCUGGUCUCUUGCCUUCCUUUCCUGAUUUCUAACACAUUGAGAGCUCUUGCACUCUAACGAGAAUGUCCUUAAAGAUGUUUUUUCCCCACUGUUGUAAACUGGCAAUGGCUUUUAUUUAUCCGAGUAAUGUAUUGUGUUUCCUUCACCAGAUUCCUCUAUGUGGUUUAACCAAGUAGCCAGCUUCUCCCCUUUAGCAAUUGUGAUCCUGACCCACAGCAGAGAAACAUUCAUUGCCAAAAAUGCAUCUUGUAGCAUAAGCAAACUUGAGGCCAGUAACUCCUGAAAACGAGUGCUCUCCUGCCAGCCGCUGGGCAAGGCUUCAGCCAAUUAAGGGCACCGUGGGCAUUGAAGUGCCCGUGGUUGUGGUGCAGCCUCUUCCUAAGGAAGGCGACGAGGGGAAGAGGAUCUGAAUUCUAAUUAGAUACAAUUAGAGGAUUUUAACACAGAAACCCUGGAAACUUGCAAACUGUGAACCUGAAUGGAGAGAUCUUUUUUUUUUUUUUUUUUCCCAUUUCUUCUUCCUAAAUGCUGUCAGCGUGGCUUCUUAAUGCAACGCCGUGAGAGAGGCCGUGUUGGGUCAGACUGGGACAGGGUGUUCUGCAGGCAGUGCCCAUGGCAGGCUCCUGGGGAGGAGCUGUGCCGUGGGUGAGCCGGCCCUGGGAUCCUUUCUCAGCUCCCAGCAAUCAACGGCUGAGGGCAUUUCUGAACCACAGCUAUCGGUGUGUUUAGACGCCUUUCAUGGAUUUUUCUCUUCUGUGAUUAUGUCUAAUUGCUUUUUGAAACCGUGUAAACUUUUGGCAUCGGCAGCAGCUUGUGUCAGUGAUUUCCAUCCAAGCUGAAAUCCUUCCCGUCGCGAUUAACCCAGGAACAAUUUGCUAAGAGGAGUCUCUGUUGUUAUGCGGAAACUCUGAUCUCCUGUGCUAAAGGCCACGAAGCGGAAGAGAAGAAGAAAAUCUUUACAAAUGAAUGUCUGCAAAGAGCAAACAUGAUAUGGAGAGAGAAUAAAUGUCACGUCGGAAAUUAUGUGUUCAUGGACGCUGCUUUGUGGCCAAGUUGUUUUCACUCCCACUGCAGCCAGUGAGAUGGUUAACCCUCUGCGUGGUGAGACAGUCCCCUCACAAUGUAGAGAUCCUAGAGAAAUGGAGCAGCUUCAUUUAAAAAAGCAUUUAAAAACACAUUAGAAAUAAUUCACU